ACGAGCGUAUCUCAGCUGCCUUAUAAGCAGUGCAUUGUAGAGUAAUGGUGCAUGUGGGUUCAAGCCCCAUCGCUCGUACCA
RNAcentral lists this transfer RNA (81 nucleotides) under Treponema sp. RNAcentral's name for it is "tRNA-OTHER". It matches the Rfam family "tRNA". From Rfam's summary of the family: Transfer RNA (tRNA) molecules are approximately 80 nucleotides in length. Their secondary structure includes four short double-helical elements and three loops (D, anti-codon, and T loops). Lineage: Bacteria; Pseudomonadati; Spirochaetota; Spirochaetia; Treponematales; Treponemataceae. The record is from RNAcentral. RNAcentral also lists the same sequence under 1 other name.